This 58-nucleotide transfer RNA is filed under the name Salmo salar (Atlantic salmon). It matches the Rfam family "tRNA", at positions 8 to 63 of the family's 71-position model. Rfam says of the family: Transfer RNA (tRNA) molecules are approximately 80 nucleotides in length. Their secondary structure includes four short double-helical elements and three loops (D, anti-codon, and T loops). Further hydrogen bonds mediate the characteristic L-shaped molecular structure. tRNAs have two regions of fundamental functional importance: the anti-codon, which is responsible for specific mRNA codon recognition, and the 3' end, to which the tRNAs corresponding amino acid is attached (by aminoacyl-tRNA synthetases). tRNAs cope with the degeneracy of the genetic code in two manners: having more than one tRNA (with a specific anti-codon) for a particular amino acid; and 'wobble' base-pairing, i.e. permitting non-standard base-pairing at the 3rd anti-codon position. Lineage: Eukaryota; Metazoa; Chordata; Actinopteri; Salmoniformes; Salmonidae. The record is from Rfam by way of RNAcentral.
UAGCUCAGUUGGAAGAGCAUGGUGUUUGCAACGCCAGGGUUGUGGGUUUGUUUCCCAC